AGUGAACGCUGGCGGUAGGCCUAACACAUGCAAGUCGAACGGCAGCACAGUAAGAGCUUGCUCUUACGGGUGGCGAGUGGCGGACGGGUGAGGAAUACAUCGGAAUCUACUUUUUCGUGGGGGAUAACGUAGGGAAACUUACGCUACUACCGCAUACGACCUACGGGUGAAAGCAGGGGAUCUUCGGACCUUGCGCGAUUGAAUGAGCCGAUGUCGGAUUAGCUAGUUGGCGGGGUAAAGUCCCACCAAGGCGACGAUCCGUAGCUGGUCUGAGAGGAUGAUCAGCCACACUGGAACUGAGACACGGUCCAGACUCCUACGGGAGGCAGCAGUGGGGAAUAUUGGACAAUGGGCGCAAGCCUGAUCCAGCCAUACCGCGUGGGUGAAGAAGGCCUUCGGGUUGUAAAGCCCUUUUGUUAGGAAAGAAAAGCAGCAGGUUAAUACCCCGCUGUUCUGACGGUACCCAAAGAAUAAGCACCGGCUAACUUCGUG
This 492-nucleotide ribosomal RNA is filed under the name uncultured bacterium. RNAcentral describes it as "partial 16S ribosomal RNA". It matches the Rfam family "Bacterial small subunit ribosomal RNA", at positions 29 to 507 of the family's 1533-position model. The record is from RNAcentral.